This is a long non-coding RNA of Dermochelys coriacea (leatherback sea turtle), 4668 nucleotides long. RefSeq lists it as uncharacterized. Lineage: Eukaryota; Metazoa; Chordata; Testudines; Dermochelyidae. The transcript is spliced from 3 exons. The record is from RefSeq and is a predicted model, not a curated record.
CACCAAACAAACAAAAGAUCCUUUCUCCUCUUUCUCCCUUCUGAGAAAUGGGGAUCAGAGAGAAGAGAAGGGGAAAAAAGACUCAGGUGGUCUGUCUCAGGUUUACCAUCUGAUCUACUGUCUUUAAUGAGGGUCUAUCUUAGCCCUUCCUCUUGGGGUAUUCUGUUUUACAGCUGUUUCAAGGGUAACAAGGUCUGUGAGUGUCUCCCUCUUGGCUGAGUAGUCUCUGAAGUCACAGUUUUCUUCCUGUGGCAGGUUUUCCAUUUUUAAGCUCCUAAUCCACCAGGCAGAACAAGCCUCACAGGUGUACCUUGUUAAUGCUGAAUGAGCCCAGAAGAGCUUGUUAAUUAGUCUCCUGUCCAACCGAGAUCUGUCUCUUCACAAGGAAGUUUGUUGGAUUAAACUGCAGGUCCCCUUAUCCCACUGGAGAAGAAGAUUAGAAUUUGCUGCAGGCUAUGCAAAUUGCAGAUACUGAAGGGCAGUUUUGAAGUAGACUGUGGGGCUAUCUUUUAUUUUCCUAACUAUGAGGAACUGGCCUCACCAUUCCAUAGAGACUGAGAAGGCCUGCUCCUGGUCUCUUAUCACCUCAGAGCCCUUCUGAGCUAUCUGGAUGAGAAGAACUGCUUCAAAAUGUCCAGUAGAAUGCAGAGUUCACUUUUACAUCCUCUCUGCAGCUGGUUCCCGCUUCUAUGCUGUGGAACACCAAAGAUGCUCCACUCCUGAGCUGGCUGAAGAUUCAGAGAAGACCCUGGAUGUAGUGAAAAUGUUCAGUCCAUCCAGAAGUGCAGUUGCAUACAGAUCCUGUUCUUCAACAAGGCAAUUGCUGCUGUGACAAAGAUCCUGGUCUUCAGGGAUUAAAUUAUUCAGACAAUUCAGGAGCAUGCCUCCUCUGAGCCUAAAGGGUCGGAAACCGGAAGACAAAUAGAUCCCUACAUUUAUUAUUUUUAAAAAUCUCAAGAUUUUUUUUUGGAGAGGGGCUGACUCAUGAUACUUGAAUAUUUGGGGUUGUCAAUACUGAAUCACAUUAAUACUGCAAAUAGGAUAAUGUUCUUCUUUCUGCUCCCAUUGAAGCUAUAAGCAGAACUCUCUGUGGCUUCAGUGGUGGUAGGUUUGGGCCUUUGCCUUAGAGAUUGUAAAAGACUUGGAUUUCUUUUUCUAAGAUUGCAUAGUGCUGCACACUUUGAUUGUGCUCAAUAACUAACUAAAAAAAGUAUGUGUUAACCUAUAUCACACAUGAGUCCAUAACAACCUUAACAUACCCUUCCAUAUUGCACAAAGCAUGGUAUAAACAGAAAUUCUAUCAACGGACUUAAUACUCAUUAGUCUCUUGUGUCCACUGUAAGCAUAACUGAAGGUUUUCUAAUUAGUUCCAAUGAUUUUGUGGAUAUUUGGAGUAUUUAGAACAAUCUGUAUCUAUGCAACUAAAUUGUACAUUUACUUACUGGUUUUCUCUUACUGAUGUCUCUUUAACUGAAUAACCACUUGUCCCACCAACUCUCUGGUUAACAUCUACCAGUGGUGGUAAAAUAAUUCACUGUGUGGAUAACCGUGUUAUCAAGACUUAAUACUAGUGAUAAAACUGUGGGCUGAUUUACUUUCUAAACUUAAUGUUCCCCAAAAUAAAACUCCUAGUGAAAUGGACUAAAGAAAACCUCAUUGUUCCUUCAUAAGACUCCAAGGGCUAAAUUGUGACUGCCUCUGUGAGGGAGCUCAAUGUGGGAUAAAUAUCAUGCAGGAGACAGACAGACUACUGACCUCCCUUGGUUGCUAGGUUAUUUGGAUGUCUGAGGUACCUGCUAGCACUCCUUGCAUCAGAAGGGGUGGGACCAAGAGGGCUGAAAGUGUUGCAAUGUGCUUGUCUUUCUAGACCACAUGCUCCAGGACAGUAGAGGGAGUGUGUUGCAUAAGGUAAUGAUCAGUAUGCUUCCACUCCACCCCACAACACAACCUGAGGCCUUAUGGGGUAUGUCUACACCACAACUAGACACCUGUGACUCUACCAUGUCAGCUGACUCAGGUUCGCAAGGCUUGGGCUGCGGGGCUGUUUCAUUGCUGUGUAGGCUUCCAGGCUCAGGCUGCAGCCUGGGCUUUAGGACCCUGUGGAGUACGAGGUUCCCAGAGCUUCUGCGCCAGCUUGAGCCUGGCAGUCUACACAGCAAUGAAACAACCCUUGAGUCAAAGUCCCAUGAGCCCAAGUUGGCUGGCAUGGGCCAGUCACAGGUUUUUCUUUGCUUGUAGACAUACAUACCAUAGACUGACUGGUGCCACAUACCUAUGCUGUCUAUCACCAUAGCAUGUAGGCACUGAACUUCUCUGUUCCCCACUGCCCAACCUCUUGUGUGCUGAAUUCCCAGAAUUUAGCCCAAAAUGAAUUUUCAUCAAGGAAAGUGCAGGGGUUCAGCUAAUAGCUAAGACAGAAGUGGAUAAAAGGUCACAUAUCAGAAUAAAAUGAUGGAAAAAAGGUCUUUCUAUUAAAUGAAUGGUCAUCAUGGAAUCAUAGGUUGCAAAACAAAAUAAAUGCAGUUCUCUUCAGAACUGAGGAAUUAUAGUAAAUGAAAUUGAUUUGGUGCUUGUCUUUGCUUUAUUCAAUGUAGAUAGAAAAAAUUCUGGUGCAAUACCUUAAAGGUGAAAAACAUCAAGAGAAACUGAUUACUAAAAUAGAAUCCGCAUCAAAACAAGGGGCAGAUCCUUUGGUACAACUCAGGAAGUGGUUAGAGAGUAAAGAUCUCCCAGGGACUGCCCUGAUGUUGGUGCUGCUCUGAUUACUGAUCCUGUCUUACGUUGUGUGUGUUAGAGCAGCUUGACAGCUUACAUUGAGCUGUCAACCACCAGAAUAGCCUGCAAUGGCAUGGGGGAGGAAAAGAUUUUUCAAAGCCCCUGUACUACAGGAAAGGGAUCUGUGCUCCUUCUCGCUAACCAGGCCUCACUUUCCCUGCUAAGCUGGCAGCAAGGAAGAUAUGUGGCAUACUAGCUACUACAUUUCUUUUAAACCCCUUCAGGAUCACCCUUGUACUUGGGGUGGUCUACGCUGGGCCAUUAAGACAGGUUUUGUGGCAGCAAUGCACCAUACAUUGCCCCUGGAGAUCUGGCACAAUAUUCCAUAGUAUGUUUACUUCCAAGUUUAAAAUAGAAUUUAGCACAAUGUAUCAAUGUGCUUUUUGUUCAGUGUCCCUGCCUAAUGCUUGCCUUAACUUUGAGUAUCACUGUUGAUUAGAAGUAUUGUGCACAUUCUGUGGGUUAUUUUGUCAUAAUAAUAAUAAUUAAUAAUAAUACUUGGCAUUUAUUUAGUGUCUUCCAUUUUCAAAUGUAGGAUGAUGAAGUUAUAUGCAAGACCCAUGAAGUUAUAUGCAAGAUUUCUGGAAGAAAAAGAUGCACUGGGAUGUAUUUUUUUUUUUUUUUAAAGAAGAAGAAUAGAAUAGGGUCAGCCUUGUUAUUAGUGUUCACUACUAUGCAUGAGAUGUUUGUUUGUUUUGUUUGUUUUUUCUUUUGGCCAGUGGUGUAUCUGAUUCAGUUUUCAGUAUUGCCAACCCCAAAUUUUAAAGAAUCAUCUUAUUAACUCUCUGAAAAUCACAAGAUUUUUUAAAAAAAAUGUUGGAUGGUUCUUAUUUCCUGACUGGUGUUGGAGUGUUUAGGGUGCACUUGUUUCAUGUUUAAGUUUUUUCUCUGCACCAUGAGGGGUAGAAACUUUUCCCUAAUAAUGAAAUCUUCAAUUAUCAUGAACUAUCAUGAUUACAGCAGCUGGGGCUUUAAGGAACUCAUUAAACAUUGUGAGACUUGCAAUAAAAUUAAGAGAUCUGGCAACAAUGAUUUGUAAUUCUCAGAAGUGUCACACUUGCAAAAGAAAAGACAUUUUAAAGGGACAAUGUCAACUUGAAAUAUCAACAGAGCCGGUCAAAAACAUUUUAAAGUUGGAAAUUUUUCCUUACAAUGUUGAAUUUCAACCAAAAAAUGGGAAAAUUUCACAAUAUUCCAUGUCCUAUUGUUCCACAGUUACAUGGACCUUGUAGAAAGUGUAAAUGUAACUUGUUCAUUUUCAAUAAAUCCAUCCUCCUUUUCUGUGUUUUUUCAGAUCCUUUUUAGGCAAAACUGCCCAUGUUUCUGUAUCCCAUUUGUCACAUUUCUGGAGACACGUGGAUAGAGAGCAUUGCUUACUUUCCAUAACAUGAAUAAGAAAAUGAUGCAAGUUCCACCUUACUGCUUAAGCUACUCCAAAAUAUUUUGCUAGAUGGAACAUUAAGUGAAUCCACUUCACAACUUUUUUAAUGCUCCAACUUCAAAUGCCACAGAUUAAACAGGAAGUUUCAUGUUCAGCAUAUAAAGCUCCCUAUUCUAGGUCACUGACAAGAACCCACCAUUGUAAAGUAGUAAUUAGCCUCAUAGUGUUUCAUUAAAAUAUUACUUCUUUCUUUGUGUGUUAAGGAAUGAUUUCUUACUCUAGUCUCUUUGUCUGUUUGUAUUUGGUGCAGCUGUUUCAUUAUUGAUGUAAAGAGGCAAUUCAGAAUUUAAUGAUUAAUUUUAAUGUAGAUCAUUCUUAUCUGAAUAAUUGAUGGAAAAGAUGAUCAUACACAUUCAGAGUCAGUAGCUGUUAUUCCUCCGGUCUCCUCUUAUCUUUGUAGUUGUACUCCUUGCCAAAGCCCCUCAAGCCCAUGCAUUUUGUUGGGAAAUGUG